UACGUAGGGGGCUAGCGUUGUCCGGAAUCAUUGGGCGUAAAGCGCGCGUAGGCGGCCCGGUAAGUCCGCUCUGAAAGUCCAGGGCUCAACCCUGGAAAGCGGGUGGAUACUGCCGGGCUAGAAUCCGGAAGAGGCGAGUGGAAUUCCUGGUGUAGCGGUGGAAUGCGUAGAUAUCUGGAGGAACACCGGUGGCGAAGGCGGCAUCCUGGACCGGCAUUGACGCUGAGGCGCGAAAGCCAGGGGAGCAAACGGG
This 253-nucleotide ribosomal RNA is filed under the name uncultured bacterium. RNAcentral describes it as "partial 16S ribosomal RNA". It matches the Rfam family "Bacterial small subunit ribosomal RNA", at positions 524 to 776 of the family's 1533-position model. The record is from RNAcentral.